CAGAAAAUAAAAAUUGACUGUCUUUUAACCACAAAAGUUUCAACGGUUAAAAAAACACAUACUUUGAACAACAGAUUUCGUUCUUAAAUGCAAAUGUAUUUAAUUCUGAAAUAGUUCUUAAAUGCAAACGUAUGCAAAUAAAAGCUGAGGGGUGCAAGAAUGAUGUCACGGUUUUAUUGUCCUUUGUUUGGUCUUUAAAAGCCCGUCUUUUCUCACUUCUGCAGCCAAACGCUAAACUUUCCUCAAAGCUCCAAACUUUCCAGACCUCCAAAAUGGAAAACGAAAUCUGCACAGACGAAGGAGUCCAAAACGAUCCUCCGAAGAACCAGCAGACUUCGGUGGACCUCAACAGCCUCAUCGGCGACCAGGACCCCACGACGGAAACGGAGCAGGUCGCUGAAGUUUCAGAGAGCCUCUCGGUGGAAGAUCCACAAACCGUGCCGGGAGCCUCGACUUUUCGGGUUCUUCAGGAUCCAUCUCCGCCUCCUGAGGCCCCCGCCGGUCCCUCAGCUCCACCGUCUCCUCACGGUCCAGCGGAACGUCCUCUUUCUCCGGCCGGGUCCUCCGCCUCCUGGAGCACCGAGAGGAGCAGGUCCAGAUCCCGGAGUAGAUCCAGGAGCAGCAAAAAGUCCCGUCGAAACGGCGGUCGAAGGGAGUCUUCGAGAAGAGACAGGAGGAGGUUUUCAGUAAGAAGAGACAGAAGAGGGUCAGCCAGACGACACCGAUUAUCGUGUUGCCGCUGUAAAAAGAUUGAUGCGCUGUUGAUGAAAAUGGGAAAUGAACUUAUGCACACUGCAUCUGCAACUGUAUCAGCCUUGAAACCAUUCUAUCACAUUUGAGGUGUUUUUGUUGUUGUUUAGGUUUGUUUCAAGUCAUAUUGUAAACAAGGUGUGAUAUUAAAGUAACCAUGGCUAAAAAUGUAAGUGACUGGUUGAAUGAAUAAUAAACCUUAAACCAAGAACCUUUU
Molecule: long non-coding RNA, 967 nt
Organism: Acanthochromis polyacanthus (spiny chromis)
Lineage: Eukaryota; Metazoa; Chordata; Actinopteri; Pomacentridae
Exons: 3
Source: RefSeq, a predicted model, not a curated record